UAAUCACAGCCAAAGACAACCACCCUGGUACUACACACUCUUAUGCCCAGUGUGUCGUCACUGCUGUCGUCAUACAGUACGUUCAGUUCGUGUUUGCGACGGUAUCUAUAAGAAUGAGAUGAUUGGUGGAUGCUUUCCUUGCCGACCUGCGAUUGCGAUAAUCCGUACUUUAUUUUUGUUUCACAACGUGUAUGUAUUAAUGGGUUGUUGCGCCCAUUCUGCGAUUGUUUUUACUCGAGUUUCCAAAGCUGACAGCAGCCAUUUUGGUCGAGAGGAGGGUUGUUGUGGUUGCAGCAGCUAACAGGUGAGCAGCAGCUAACACAGGUGAGCACAAUCACGGCUAUAGCGCCUCCCCUUAUAGUCGUUAGGUGAAAGAAAGUACUACAGGCGAGAUCAGUGUGCAGUAAAGAAGGAUUAUGCACAGACUACAGGUGCCAGAACCCCACUACAGUGGACAAUUGCCGAACUGUAGUUUCUAAUAAAAUACUGUGAAGUUCCGGAUCUGUGUCUGGCCUCGGUGUGACGGGUGAACACACGUGUUACAGCCAGCAAAACACAUUUCUGUUGCUUCACCUCUCCAAACCAGCCACUCUGCAUGACUGCACAUGUAAAGUUAUGUAACACUCUCUGGAUGGAGGACCAGGUUGUAAAUCGCUCCUUCAGCAUCCUUUACUCCACACACACCAUCUUGUAGAAAUGAAGACCUACAUCACAUCUGACUCCAACAGCGUUUGUUGACCUCAGGAAAGAUGAAUCAACUCUGCUGGUUUCUCUGGGAUGUUCAGCUAAAGAAAACAGGUAUAUGUACAGUACAGUAGGAACUCUAGGCCUUUAGUCAUAAAAUGUUUCUAGUUACAAUGGUCCAAUCUGAUUGACAAAUGAAAAUGUCUCCAGUAAUAAAUGAGUGUAGAUACAUUUAAAAAAUAAUUCAAAUAUUGAAUUACAAUUCAGCAACAUUGUUAAAUUAGUUUUUCUUUUUUCAAAACUCAACCUCAUCAGCAGCUUGAUACAGAACCAUGAAGUCCCUUUGCCAGUGUCUCUGAUGUCAGUGGACAAUCUGCACUUACUGUUAGCACUGGAGGUUCAUGCCAAGACAAAUGUCACCCUGGGCCUCCCUGUUUGGUCUCAGCUUUGGGUCAUGAGUUUGUUUUAGCGGAAUGCACUACAGUGAAAAUCCCUUGUCGUUUUUGUGUGUGUCAGCUCUGGGAAAAGGUUUGGUUCCCAGACAGAACUGGGUUCUUACAGUAAUCGAUGACCUUUUCUCUGAGAGCUGGAUCAACUGCGUGGUAAGAACUGCAAAGAACAACUCGGUUAGCCAUUCCUACGUUUUUAUCUUUGAAUAAACCAUGAAAGGCUGUGUAUGCGUUAUAUCAUACCAGUUUGAAACAGGAACAGUGAUUCAAGUCUCUCUCUUUUUUAUUUUUUUUUACCGGGUAACGAUGACGAUUUUUCUGUGAGCACAUUUUACUCUGUAAUAAUAUUGUCCAUUAUCCAACUGUUUUUUUUUUUUUAAUUCACUUAUGUCAUCAUGAUAUUCGAAAACAAACUCAAUUUCUUUGGGGUAAUUUGUAGUACAUGGUCACCAGUCAGGAUAGUGGUUGGAUGUCUGUUUACAAAUGUAGUUACAUUUAAAAUGACAUUCAGACAACCAGUCUGACCAUUGUCUGGAGGAGGGGUGAAGAAAAAAAAAGUUGUUUCUGUCUCUCUGAGAACCAUAAAUUAUGUUUUGGGAGUGGUGGUUGGAGUGUGACGUCUGAACCAACCAACCCACUCACUUGUGGUGUUGUCUUUUUGGAAUGAGCAGAGGACAGUGUAAGCAGAUCAGAUUGCUCACAGGCCUGUGAAGGCAUCGUGAUGACAGACCUGUGGACUUGGAUUGACUUUCAUGUGGAAGAACACACUAUGCUGCCUCAGCAAAGAUGCUUCCUCGCCCCCUUCACAUGUGUCACAGUGGAGGUACUCAACCACAGCACAGCUGUCACCACUGAAGUCUGUCAGAAACCAACACUUCAACUGUCGUUGAUACAAAUAUUUACAGAUGUAUUUAUUAGGAUAAUCUUAUAUUUAUGGGCUCUAGGUGGUGCUGUCCACUAGUUUGAACCCAGCUGGUUUGGAGUUUGCAUGUUUACUCCAUGUGUGAGAUGGUUUACUCUCAGUCUAAAAACACGCCAUUUGUUUAUUUGCACUUUACCUUGAUUGUACACAAGUCCACGACUGGGUUUAGACUGUUUCCAUUCUCUAAGACUAGAAACAUUGUCUAUUCCAUGUUCUUACGAAAUCAAAAUGUGUGUAAAAACGUGUUCUACCAGAGGUAAAACUCCUGAACCGAACACUGCAAAAAGACAUUUCUUCACUAUAUAAAAAAAAGAAAAUCCCACU
Long non-coding RNA from Cynoglossus semilaevis (tongue sole), 2379 nucleotides. RefSeq lists it as uncharacterized. The record is from RefSeq and is a predicted model, not a curated record. The transcript has 3 exons. Lineage: Eukaryota; Metazoa; Chordata; Actinopteri; Pleuronectiformes; Cynoglossidae.